CCUACGGGGGGCUGCAGUGGGGAAUAUUGGACAAUGGGGGGAACCUUGAUCCAGCCAUGCCGCGUGUGUGAAGAAGGCCCUCGGGUUGUAAAGCACUUUCAGUGAGGAAGAACGCCUGGUGGUUAAUACCCAUCAGGAAAGACAUCACUCACAGAAGAAGCACCGGCUAACUCCGUGCCAGCAGCCGCGGUAAUACGGAGGGUGCGAGCGUUAAUCGGAAUUACUGGGCGUAAAGCGCGCGUAGGUGGCUUGAUAAGCCGGUUGUGAAAGCCCCGGGCUCAACCUGGGAACGGCAUCCGGAACUGUCAAGCUAGAGUGCAGGAGAGGAAGGUAGAAUUCCCGGUGUAGCGGUGAAAUGCGUAGAGAUCGGGAGGAAUACCAGUGGCGAAGGCGGCCUUCUGGACUGACACUGACACUGAGGUGCGAAAGCGUGGGUAGCAAACAGGAUUAGAUACCCGGGUAGUC
RNAcentral lists this ribosomal RNA (465 nucleotides) under Vreelandella stevensii. RNAcentral's name for it is "partial 16S ribosomal RNA". It matches the Rfam family "Bacterial small subunit ribosomal RNA", at positions 338 to 795 of the family's 1533-position model. Lineage: Bacteria; Pseudomonadati; Pseudomonadota; Gammaproteobacteria; Oceanospirillales; Halomonadaceae. The record is from RNAcentral.